CCGUACCUGCUUUUCAAGGAUACCCUAUGCAAGGAGUACCAUAUUAUCCAGCUUAUCCAGGAAAUGGGCCUCUCUAUCAACCUCCUUAUCCAGGAAUGGAAGACUCUCGAAUGAGUGUCACUCCGAAAACUAGACAGAAAAGACAGUCUUUGGAUAGGGGAGAAAGCAACAGUGAAUCGGAGGAGGACGAAGAAAUGGAUAGUGAAGG
RNAcentral lists this long non-coding RNA (208 nucleotides) under Nicotiana benthamiana. RNAcentral's name for it is "long non-coding RNA (NBEN_LNC000246)". Lineage: Eukaryota; Viridiplantae; Streptophyta; Magnoliopsida; Solanales; Solanaceae. The record is from RNAcentral.